RNAcentral lists this long non-coding RNA (1045 nucleotides) under Pogona vitticeps (central bearded dragon). RNAcentral describes it as "lncRNA (ENSPVIG00000003845.1)". The record is from RNAcentral. Lineage: Eukaryota; Metazoa; Chordata; Lepidosauria; Squamata; Agamidae.
UUCUGGCAGUGCUGGGCCAGGCGAGAGUCCCAGAGAGCCUCCACGGGCGGCGCCCACCCUCCGUUUGCGGGACCCAGCCUGAGUGAAAGGCGGCGGGCAUGGCUAGGGCCGGCUCUGCCCUUCGGCCUGCUGUUCCUGCGCUGCGGCGCCAUGCUGUCCGACAGCUUUGUGAUGGCCGAGGCCCAGGUGGCCCCCUUCCUGCUAGUCUCGCUGGCGCUGGCGCUGGUGCUGAGGCUGCACUGGCAGGGCGCUCUGGAAGGCUCGCCCCUUGGCUUGCCGGUGCUCGGGCUGCUAGGGGUCGUCCUGGCGUGCGCGCGCCUCUCUGGGCUUUUCCGGCAGUGUCGCGAGGAGACGCCCGGCUGCCAGUCCUCCUCGCUCCUGGCCCCGCUCUCCAGCCUGCAGGAGCCCCAGGCGAAGAACCUCCAGUACCUCCUCUGCUUGGCGGGGCUGGCCGGGCUGGUGGGGGCCGUGCAGGGCUGGCUGCGCCACUACGGCAACCUCAACCGCCCCAGCGCCCCCGUCCUCUUUGUCCGCUGGGGGUUCCCCCUGCUGGCCCUCUGGAUCGGCGGCUACUGGGCCGUGACCUCGGGGGCCGAGGAGGCGCUGGCCAAGCUGCGCGUGUGGGUGCAGCUGGCGCUGGUGGCCUUCCCCCGGGGUCUCUUUGGCCUGGUCGGGGCGGGCCUCCUCCUCCGGGACCCGGUGACCGUCUUGGUGAGGGACAGCCGGGAGCCUGCGUGAGCCGAAUCCCUGCCAUCAGAAAGUCUCGAGGGUCACCUCGUCUCCCUCGCCCGUUGAUGCCGGAACAAAUCCAGGUGGCUAGUAGUUGCCCUGACCAUCGCAAGCCUCUCGCUGGUCUUCCCCGAGGAGGACUGCUGGGAGGGCCCUGUUCAUCUUCUCCGGAUCUCUGUUCGUUGCAUCCAAGGCUUCUGGCUUGUUUCAUGGAGGCAGGCGGGACCCCAAGUGUUCCUUGAGGGGCUGCUGGUUGAGUGUCCCUGGCCAGCCGCCUAUUGCCUUCGCUGUCCAUUUCCUGGGCUCCCUUCUUUAG